ACCCUUGCCUCUCUCACACUUGGGCUUCCCAGUCAGACAGCUCUGGGGAUGACAGACAUUGGCGUGGGAUCAUCAAGAAGACUGCUUGGGAAACCCAACAGGAAAAAGGGUAAAAUUGAUCCUGCAAGAAGAUACACUAUGUUGACGGGUGGCUUUGGAUAUUUUCUGUCUGGAUUUCAGCAGGCAUCUUUGUACACAGAGAUCAAGUCUGAGAAGCAUGGAUUGAUGGGGAAAUUGAGGUCAGGAGAGAUCUCAGAUCUGGGACAAGGCUGGAGAGUGGAGUGCCUUGAACACUAAGCUAAGGGAUCUCAGCUCUGCAGUGCAGUGCAGGCCAGUGAUGUUUCACCAUUUCCUCAUUUGAAUGCUUAUUCAUUAACCCACUUCCUACAUGCCACGUGACCAGAUGUCCCAAGAGGAGUUCCUUUGGGAUGAAGUUAAUUCUCAUCCAUUGUGAAAUAGCACUGUUGAGAUGGUGACAAGACACAUCUGGAGCAAUCACCUAGACGAAUGCCAAGUUUUAGCUUCUCAUCCUGCUGUUAACUUGUCCUGCUAGCCUGGACUGAAGCCUGAGCUCUGUUGUGGUUAAACAAGAAGCAUUCAUCCUCAGAACCAGUGUUCUGGCCCCUUCUCCUCCCACCACGAACUCGAAGUAAUAAAUGACCAGAGGAUAUUGGAGUAGGAGGAGCCACAACCUGUGUGACCCAGAUAUUCAUUCAUUGCUUUUCCCCUGCUAAUUAUUGAGCACUUCCCAUGCCUUGGGUUUUGGGGAUAAACAAUAAAGAGGUAAGCAGGCAGACUUCUGCCUUCAUGGGGCUCACAUUCUAGUGGUGUGAGGAGGGAAACAUAAACAAUACACAAAUAAACAAAAAAACAAACAAGAAUUUCAGAUGGAGAGAAGUGCUUCUAGCAAACUUGAACAGGGUAUCACGAAAAUGGCUGGAGGGGCUCCUUUUUUGAAGACCUCUCUGAGGAGAGACCUGAAGGUUGAGAAGAGAGCAAGCACAGAGCACUUCAGGCAGCGGGCAGAGUAGGAGGAAAGACCCAGAGACCCUGGUCGAGGAACAGAAAGGCCUGUGUGUCCACAGGGUGGGAGCGUGGUGGGGGGUGGAGGAGGG
Hyaena hyaena (striped hyena) is the source of this 1115-nucleotide long non-coding RNA. RefSeq lists it as uncharacterized. The transcript has 3 exons. The record is from RefSeq and is a predicted model, not a curated record. Lineage: Eukaryota; Metazoa; Chordata; Mammalia; Carnivora; Hyaenidae.